RNAcentral lists this long non-coding RNA (357 nucleotides) under Brassica napus (rape). RNAcentral's name for it is "long non-coding RNA (BNAP_LNC023900)". The record is from RNAcentral. Lineage: Eukaryota; Viridiplantae; Streptophyta; Magnoliopsida; Brassicales; Brassicaceae.
CCCACUAAAGGCCGAGAAAGGUUGUCGCCCUAGACUUUCCUUAUUGGGCUUCUGACCCACACCGGUGGUCUGCUCCGCGGAUCGCCUCCGUUUUCGUUCCAAUCCUCCACCAUCUUUGCCACCUCCAUCAUCUUUUUCAAGGUUUUGGGCUCAAACAUCCUCACUCCUGCUCGAAUCCUAGGUUUCAAUCCGAUCAUAAAAGCCAUCUCAAGGACUUUAUCCGUUAGCUCUGGUGCGUUAGAGGCUAACGCAAUAAAAUCCUUGCAAUAGCUCUUAACGAAGCCUUUUUGUCGGAGCAUGAGUAGCCUCUCACCCGCGUUCGUAUCGUGACUCAUCGCAUACUGCUCCAACACCCUC